CGAACGGGUGAGGUAAUACAUCGGAACGUGUCCGCUCGUGGGGGACAACCAGCCGAAAGGUUGGCGUAAUACCGCAUGAGUUCUACGGAAGAAAGAGGGGGACCCGCAAGGGCCUCUCGCGAGCGGAGCGGCCGAUGACUGAUUAGCCUGUUGGUGAGGUAACGGCUCACCAAAGCAACGAUCAGUAGCUGGUCUGAGAGGACGACCAGCCACACUGGGACUGAGACACGGCCCAGACUCCUACGGGAGGCAGCAG
RNAcentral lists this ribosomal RNA (256 nucleotides) under uncultured bacterium. Its description in RNAcentral is "partial 16S ribosomal RNA". It matches the Rfam family "Bacterial small subunit ribosomal RNA", at positions 99 to 354 of the family's 1533-position model. The record is from RNAcentral.